This 468-nucleotide ribosomal RNA is filed under the name uncultured bacterium. RNAcentral's name for it is "partial 16S ribosomal RNA". It matches the Rfam family "Bacterial small subunit ribosomal RNA", at positions 28 to 507 of the family's 1533-position model. The record is from RNAcentral.
GACGAACGCUGGCGGCGUGCUUAACACAUGCAAGUCGAACGGAAAGGCCCUGCUUUUGUGGGGUGCUCGAGUGGCGAACGGGUGAGUAACACGUGAGUAACCUGCCCUUGACUUUGGGAUAACUUCAGGAAACUGGGGCUAAUACCGGAUAGGAGCUCCUGCUGCAUGGUGGGGGUUGGAAAGUUUCGGCGGUUGGGGAUGGACUCGCGGCUUAUCAGCUUGUUGGUGGGGUAGUGGCUUACCAAGGCUUUGACGGGUAGCCGGCCUGAGAGGGUGACCGGCCACAUUGGGACUGAGAUACGGCCCAGACUCCUACGGGAGGCAGCAGUGGGGAAUAUUGCACAAUGGGCGGAAGCCUGAUGCAACAACGCCGCGUGCGGGAUGACGGCCUCCGGGUUGUAAACCGCUUUCGCCUGUGACGAAGCGUGAGUGACGGUAAUGGGUAAAGAAGCACCGGCUAACUACGUG